AUCUGCCCCUAAGACGAGGAUAACAGUUGGAAACGACUGCUAAGACUGGAUAGGAGACAAGAAGGCAUCUUCUUGUUUUUAAAAGACCUAGCAAUAGGUAUGCUUAGGGAGGAGCUUGCGUCACAUUAGUUAGUUGGUGGGGUAAAGGCCUACCAAGACUAUGAUGUGUAGCCGGGCUGAGAGGUUGAACGGCCACAUUGGGACUGAGACACGGCCCAAACUCCUACGGGAGGCAGCAGUAGGGAAUUUUCGGCAAUGGAGGAAACUCUGACCGAGCAACGCCGCGUGAACGAUGAAGUAUUUCGGUACGUAAAGUUCUUUUAUUAGGGAAGAAUAAAUGAUGGAAAAAUCAUUCUGACGGUACCUAAUGAAUAAGCCCCGGCUAACUAUGUGCCAGCAGCCGCGGUAAUACAUAGGGGGCAAGCGUUAUCCGGAAUUAUUGGGCGUAAAGGGUGCGUAGGCGGUUAAAUAAGUUUAUGGUCUAAGUGCAAUGCUCAACAUUGUGAUGCUAUAAAAACUGUUUAGCUAGAGUAAGAUAGAGGCAAGUGGAAUUCCAUGUGUAGUGGUAAAAUGCGUAAAUAUAUGGAGGAACACCAGUAGCGAAGGCGGCUUGCUGGGUCUUUACUGACGCUGAGGCACGAAAGCGUGGGGAGCAAACAGGAUUAGAUACCCUGGUAGUCCACGCCGUAAACGAUGAGUACUAAACGUUGGGUAAAACCAGUGUUGAAGUUAACACAUUAAGUACUCCGCCUGAGUAGUACGUACGCAAGUAUGAAACUUAAAGGAAUUGACGGGACUCCGCACAAGCGGUGGAUCAUGUUGUUUAAUUCGAAGGUACCCGAAAAACCUCACCAGGUCUUGACAUGCUUCUGCAAAGCUGUAGAAACACAGUGGAGGUUAUCAGUUGCACAGGUGGUGCAUGGUUGUCGUCAGCUCGUGUCGUGAGAUGUUGGGUUAAGUCCCGCAACGAGCGCAACCCUUAUUGUUAGUUACCAGCACGUAAUGGUGGGGACUUUAGCAAGACUGCCAGUGAUAAAUUGGAGGAAGGUGGGGACGACGUCAAAUCAUCAUGCCCCUUAUGACCUGGGCUACAAACGUGAUACAAUGGCUGUUACAAAGGGUAGCUGAAGCGCAAGUUUUUGGCGAAUCUCAAAAAAACAGUCUCAGUUCGGAUUGAAGUCUGCAACUCGACUUCAUGAAGUUGGAAUCGCUAGUAAUCGCGAAUCAGCAUGUCGCGGUGAAUACGUUCUCGGGGUUUGUACACACCGCCCGUCAAACCACGAAAGUUGGCAAUACCCAAAGCCGGUGGCC
Molecule: ribosomal RNA, 1311 nt
Filed under: Candidatus Phytoplasma asteris
Lineage: Bacteria; Bacillati; Mycoplasmatota; Mollicutes; Acholeplasmatales; Acholeplasmataceae
Also listed under: 2 other names
Description: bacterial SSU rRNA
Rfam family: Bacterial small subunit ribosomal RNA
Source: RNAcentral